Triticum dicoccoides is the source of this 1285-nucleotide long non-coding RNA. RefSeq lists it as uncharacterized. The record is from RefSeq and is a predicted model, not a curated record. Lineage: Eukaryota; Viridiplantae; Streptophyta; Magnoliopsida; Poales; Poaceae. The transcript has 4 exons.
GCACGCGCCGAAGCCUCCCUCCCUCUCGCUCUACCUGAUCCAGAUCGAUGAAGCCGCCUCUCGCACCGUGUCGGAAGGUCCCUCCGCCGCCACCCCCUCUCCUAGACCCGGCCAUCCUCCCUUCCGCCACCUGCUCCUAUUCUAGUCGCCCCCUUCGUCCUCCCACAACACAUCGAGCAGGGUCCCCAAACCUCACCGGCGAUAGAUGCACCGCCGCCUAGCAGCGACGGCGUUGCGGCCUGCUGGCUCGCCAGCUUGCUUGUGCUUCAAUGCUCGCCCUCCUUCGAGCUGGCCAGACCACGGCGGCGUGUUAUCUAGGGUUUGCGGUGACUUUGCCCCACGCCAUCCACGCGCGAACCUCUCCAUCCGCUAGGGUUUGGGCUGCCGCGUCGCCGGUGUGCCUCUGUCAUUGUUCCGGUGACCCAGGUGAGUCCCUCCCCUCUUCCUCGUCACAUUCAUCCCACUUUUCCUCACCACGUCCCCUCUCCCUCUCAGAUCUGUCGUCGCUCGAGCUCCAGGAUGCCAUGGACUGGAUGGCCACUUCCUCCCCUGCUCCGACGCCAUAGAGGACGCCUCCUCGCUGCCACGUCUACUUGCUGCCGCGUCUCUCUGUGGUGGUCUAUUGGUUGUGAUCUCAAUUCGCCCGAAUGGAUUGGCCGACGUUGGUGUGCACUGGGCAGCUCAAGGACACGCUUUAAUUCCAGCAAUAGGGGGAUUGCCAUAUUGGACAAAGGAAGAGGAUGAGAAGAAAUGAGGCUUGGGCGUGAGUGGGUGCUGGGUGGCGGCGGCCUUCCACUACCUGCCCCAUGGCACCUCACUCUACCGCGGUGGCAACGGAAUGCUCAUCACCUCGUAGGGAAUAUUUGAACCAAGUGACCGCAAGGAUUGUUUGACAAUGUGUAGGUCAAUCUCACCCUUGUGGAGAAAUACUAUUUUUUCUCCAGAUUUAGCCUACACUGUCCAGGUUGUAUGCUUCUACUGAGAUCCCAUCAAGGAUGGUCUGAAGCACUGAGAACAAGCGGACGGUAGGAGGGCACUAGAAGCUUUGUUUCUCAUUGAUGUUAUGUGUGAUCAACUAAAACUUGUGAUUCUCAUCCAAUCUUUGUAGAACUAUGUUGUUGUGCGCUUGUGCACUUGUUGGUUCCUUUUGUUGUGCACUUGCACUGGUAGAACUACUUUUCUUUGCACUUUUAGAAUUAUUUUGAUGUGCACUUGUUGGGCCUUGAACCUUGGAUGUGUAGAGGAGUCGAUGGAUGAUGUAUUUUAUUUCAUGUGAUUUGCUACU